GAAAGAGAGAGCACAGCAGUGCCUUGUGCAGCUCCUGUACUUUAAGCAAAUGGAAAUAACUUUUUCCCAGCAGCAUAGCUGAUAUCAUCAGCAGAAGAACUCAGGCAGUCGGCACAAGUGGUCCGUUACCUCGGUGGCCUGUCAUUAUCUACAGGAAUGCUGUCCGUUAUCUCAACAGCACCCUAUCAAAGCGCACCAUUACACGAGCACAGCAUGAGCACGAGCAGGAGUCAUCGGUGGUGGUCUGGCCUAAAUAUUUCCUGAGCAAACAAGUACCAUUUUUCAUUCCGUCUGCAGCAGUAUGAAGCGGGCAGCCACUUUCUUGGCCUCUAUUCCUGGACCAAACCCUAAAGGCUCACUGUGGUGCCAAUCUGCCAUCAUAUGUCAUCACAACAGAAUGAACAUUUUUCCAAAGCUUGGUGGGAAACAUGGUAACUGAUGAAAUCAUUGAAGACUUUAUAAUGUUGGGAACAGUCAAAAUGUUCUCUCUCUCUCACUUUUUAAAUUUUUUUUUACUUUGUGUAUUUAUAAAUGUAUGUGUUAUACUUGUUACAAGGUUGCAAAUAGUAUUUGCAAGUAGUAGCAAACUGAAAUAUAGAUUUGGAGUUGCAUAGUGGACUUAUUUAGCUACGUGACGCAAAGUGUAAGGGAAUAAAACAUUCAUUUAAAAAAAAAUAAUAAUAAUAAUAGAAAAAACGUGACGUGAACUGCACAAAGCGUAAUGUACCCAUGACGUCAGCCGGCUGCUGGAAUAAACACGAUGAUCAGAAAGCGCGGUAACAGUAAGUUAAUUAUGAGACUUUAGCGACCCCUGGUGGAGACACGACGAAUGCGUUGUUUUGUCCUAAUAAAUAAUAAAUAUUAUAUAUAUAAGUUUGACAUGAAAGCCGUUGGUUUUUCAUUAGCUGGAUGAUAAUGUCUAGCAAAAAAAAGAAAAAGAAAAAAAAAGAAAACAAAAUGUAUGUGUAUAUGCAUAUACAAUAUUGACAAUAUUAUAACUUACUACACAAUAGAAAUGUGAUUCGCCAGAUUAACAAGUGUUUUUAUUUUUAUUUUAUUUUUUAUGUAAUGUACAU
Molecule: long non-coding RNA, 1076 nt
Organism: Cyprinus carpio carpio
Lineage: Eukaryota; Metazoa; Chordata; Actinopteri; Cypriniformes; Cyprinidae
Source: Ensembl